UUCAAUCAUCGAGCGAGCUGGCCAUACACAUGCAAUCGAACGGUAACAGGAAGCAGCUUGCUGCUUCGCUGACGAGUGGCGGACGGGUGAGUAAUGUCUGGGAAACUGCCUGAUGGAGGGGGAUAACUACUGGAAACGUGGACUAAUACCCGCAUAACGUCGCAGACCCAAAGAGGGGGACCCUUCGGACUCCUGACAUCAGAUGUGACCAGAUGGGAUNGACUGUUGGGGAGGUAACGNUCACCAGGACACAUCCAACUGUCGGAGAUACAGCAACGACGGACCGUCGAUCACGAGAGAGUGGAUUGCCAUGCCGCUAUCCGCCGCCGUUUUAGAGGCUCGGUUUUAGUACUUAGCCGGAGAAAGGUUUUUGGUUAAUAACCCAACCAAUGAACCUUAACCGCCCGAAGAAGCACCCCGG
RNAcentral lists this ribosomal RNA (421 nucleotides) under Salmonella sp. Trautman ave_2007_27. Its description in RNAcentral is "bacterial SSU rRNA". The record is from RNAcentral. Lineage: Bacteria; Pseudomonadati; Pseudomonadota; Gammaproteobacteria; Enterobacterales; Enterobacteriaceae.